GAUUAACGCUGGCGGCGUGCAUAACACAUGCAAGUCGAACGAUGAAACUUAAAUGAUUUCUUCGGAAUGAUUUUAAGUGGAUUAGUGGCGGACGGGUGAGUAACGCGUGAGUAACCUGCCUUAGAGAAGGGGAUAGCCUUUGGAAACGAAGAAUAAUACCCUAUAACACCAACACCUCGCAUGAAGAGUUGGUCAAAGAUUUAUCGCUCUAAGAUGGGCUUGCGUCUGAUUAGUUAGUUGGUGAGGUAACGGCCCACCAAGACAGCGAUCAGUAGCCGGCUUGAGAGAGUGUACGGCCACAUUGGGACUGAGACACGGCCCAGACUCCUACGGGAGGCAGCAGCGGGGAAUUUUGCACAAUGGGGGAAACCCUGAUGCAGCGACGCCGCGUGAUUUAGAAGGCCUUCGGGUUGUAAAAAUCUUUUCUAUGGGAAGAAAAUGACAGUACCAUAGGAAUAAGGACCGGCUAAUUACGUG
Molecule: ribosomal RNA, 477 nt
Filed under: uncultured Peptostreptococcus sp.
Lineage: Bacteria; Bacillati; Bacillota; Clostridia; Peptostreptococcales; Peptostreptococcaceae
Description: bacterial SSU rRNA
Rfam family: Bacterial small subunit ribosomal RNA
Source: RNAcentral